UUCCAGACUCCUACGGGAGGCAGCAGUGAGGAAUAUUGGUCAAUGGUCGGGAGACUGAACCAGCCAAGCCGCGUGAGGGAUGAAGGUACAGAGUAUCGUAAACCUCUUUUGUCAGGGAACAAAGGCGGGGACGCGUCCCCGGAUGAGUGUACCUGAAGAAAAAGCAUCGGCUAACUCCGUGCCAGCAGCCGCGGUAAUACGGAGGAUGCGAGCGUUAUCCGGAUUUAUUGGGUUUAAAGGGUGCGUAGGCGGAAGCCCAAGCCAGGGGUAAAUCCGGGGGGCGCACCCUCGGUCCGCCGUUGAAACUGGCGUUCUUGAGUGGGCGAGAAGUAUGCGGAAUGCGUGGUGUAGCGGUGAAAUGCAUAGAUAUCACGCAGAACUCCGAUUGCGAAGGCAGCAUACCGGCGCCCAACUGACGCUGAAGCACGAAAGCGUGGGUAUCGAACAGGAUUAGAUGCCCCGGUA
Molecule: ribosomal RNA, 465 nt
Filed under: uncultured bacterium
Lineage: Bacteria
Description: bacterial SSU rRNA
Rfam family: Bacterial small subunit ribosomal RNA
Source: RNAcentral